AUUGAACGCUGGCGGCAGGCCUAACACAUGCAAGUCGAACGGUAGCACAGAGAGCUUGCUCUCGGGUGACGAGUGGCGGACGGGUGAGUAACGUCUGGGAAACUGCCCGAUGGAGGGGGAUAACUACUGGAAACGGUAGCUAAUACCGCAUAACGUCGCAAGACCAAAGUGGGGGACCUUCGGGCCUCACACCAUCGGAUGUGCCCAGAUGGGAUUAGCUAGUAGGUGGGGUAAUGGCUCACCUAGGCGACGAUCCCUAGCUGGUCUGAGAGGAGGACCAGCCACACUGGAACUGAGACACGGUCCAGACUCCUACGGGAGGCAGCAGUGGGGAAUAUUGCACAAUGGGCGCAAGCCUGAUGCAGCCAUGCCGCGUGUAUGAAGAGGGCCUUCGGGUUGUAAAGUACUUUCAGCGGGGAGGAAGGCGGUGGAGUUAAUAACUUCACCGAUUGACGUUACCCGCAGAAGAAGCACCGGCUAACUCCGUGCCAGCCGCCGCCGUAA
This 504-nucleotide ribosomal RNA is filed under the name uncultured bacterium. RNAcentral's name for it is "partial 16S ribosomal RNA". It matches the Rfam family "Bacterial small subunit ribosomal RNA", at positions 29 to 523 of the family's 1533-position model. The record is from RNAcentral.